UCCCUAGUGUCUCAGAUGGUAAAGAAUCUGCCUGCAAUGCAGGAGACCUGGGUUCAAUCCUUGGAUUGGGAA
This 72-nucleotide transfer RNA is filed under the name Bos taurus (domestic cattle). It matches the Rfam family "tRNA". Rfam says of the family: Transfer RNA (tRNA) molecules are approximately 80 nucleotides in length. The record is from Rfam by way of RNAcentral. RNAcentral also lists the same sequence under 3 other names. Lineage: Eukaryota; Metazoa; Chordata; Mammalia; Artiodactyla; Bovidae.